RNAcentral lists this ribosomal RNA (155 nucleotides) under uncultured bacterium. Its description in RNAcentral is "partial 16S ribosomal RNA". It matches the Rfam family "Bacterial small subunit ribosomal RNA", at positions 1345 to 1500 of the family's 1533-position model. The record is from RNAcentral.
CGGAUCAGCAUGCCGCGGUGAAUACGUUCCCGGGCCUUGUACACACCGCCCGUCACACCAUGGGAGCCGGUAAUGCCCGAAGUCAGUAGUCCAACCUCGUGAGGACGCUGCCGAAGGUAGGAUUGGCGACUGGGGUGAAGUCGUAACAAGGUAUC